RNAcentral lists this ribosomal RNA (418 nucleotides) under uncultured bacterium. RNAcentral describes it as "bacterial SSU rRNA". It matches the Rfam family "Bacterial small subunit ribosomal RNA", at positions 355 to 775 of the family's 1533-position model. The record is from RNAcentral.
UCGAGGAUCUUCGGCAAUGGGCGCAAGCCUGACCGAGCGACGCCGCGUGCGGGAUGAAGGCCCUCGGGUUGUAAACCGCUUUGGUCCGGAAGUAAGGACGGAGCAAUCCGUCUUGAACGACCGGAGAAACAAGCACGGGCUAAGUUCGUGCCAGCAGCCGCGGUAAGACGAACCGUGCGAACGUUGUUCGGAAUCACUGGGCUUAAAGGGCGCGUAGGCGGCUCUUUUGGUCGUGGGUGAAAUCCCCCAGCUCAACUGGGGAACUGCCUACGAUACCGGAGAGCUCGAGGGAGGAAGGGGCGGCCGGAACUGUCGGUGGAGCGGUGAAAUGCGUUGAUAUCGACAGGAACGCCGGUGGCGAAAGCGGGCCGCUGGCCCUCUUCUGACGCUGAGGCGCGAAAGCCAGGGGAGCGAACGG